UACGUAGGGUGCGAGCGUUAAUCGGAAUUACUGGGCGUAAAGCGUGCGCAGGCGGAAUUGUAAGUCCGUUGUAAAAUUCAGAGGCUCAACCUCUGUCUGUCGGCGGAUACUGCAAAUCUAGAGUAUGUGAGAGGGAAGUGGAAUUCCUGGUGUAGCGGUGAAAUGCGUAGAGAUGUGGAGGAACACCAGUGGCGCAGGCGGCUUCCUGGCACAAUACUGACGCUCAUGUGCGAAAGCUGGGGCAGCGAA
Molecule: ribosomal RNA, 249 nt
Filed under: uncultured prokaryote
Description: partial 16S ribosomal RNA
Rfam family: Bacterial small subunit ribosomal RNA
Source: RNAcentral